UGCCCAGCAACUCCUAUCCCUACCUCCUCGCGGUUCUGGCCGGGGUACGAGUAACCUUAGGGAAGAUCGGGUAACCAACCCCCGGUGGGAACUUUGGUCGUAUGCAGACAGGGAAGG
This is a non-coding RNA of Aedes aegypti (yellow fever mosquito), 117 nucleotides long. The record is from Rfam. NCBI's taxonomy places the organism in Eukaryota, Metazoa, Arthropoda, Insecta, Diptera, Culicidae.